This 253-nucleotide ribosomal RNA is filed under the name uncultured bacterium. Its description in RNAcentral is "partial 16S ribosomal RNA". It matches the Rfam family "Bacterial small subunit ribosomal RNA", at positions 524 to 776 of the family's 1533-position model. The record is from RNAcentral.
UACGGAGGGUGCAAGCGUUAUCCGGAUUCACUGGGUUUAAAGGGAGCGUAGGUGGGUUGGUAAGUCAGUGGUGAAAUCUCUGAGCUUAACUCGGAAACUGCCAUUGAUACUAUCAGUCUUGAAUACCGUGGAGGUCAGCGGAAUAUGUCAUGUAGCGGUGAAAUGCUUAGAUAUGACAUAGAACACCAAUUGCGAAGGCAGCUGGCUACACGAAUAUUGACACUCAGGCUCGAAAGCGUGGGGAUCAAACAGG